RNAcentral lists this ribosomal RNA (253 nucleotides) under uncultured bacterium. Its description in RNAcentral is "partial 16S ribosomal RNA". It matches the Rfam family "Bacterial small subunit ribosomal RNA", at positions 524 to 776 of the family's 1533-position model. The record is from RNAcentral.
UACAGAGGGUGCAAGCGUUGUUCGGAAUUAUUGGGCGUAAAGGGCGCGUAGGCGGUUCGGCAAGUCUCUAGUGAAAUCUCAGGGCUCAACUCUGAGUCUGCUGGGGAAACUGCCGGGCUUGAGUGUGGGAGAGGAGAGUGGAAUUCCCGGUGUAGCGGUGAAAUGCGUAGAUAUCAGGAAGAACACCCGUGGCGAAGGCGGCUCUCUGGGACGGUACUGACGCUGAGACGCGAAAGCGUGGGGAGCGAACAGG